AUACAUAGUGAGUUUGAUCCUGGCUCAGAG
This 30-nucleotide ribosomal RNA is filed under the name Saccorhiza polyschides. Its description in RNAcentral is "partial 16S ribosomal RNA". The record is from RNAcentral. Lineage: Eukaryota; Phaeophyceae; Tilopteridales; Phyllariaceae.